UACGUAGGGUGCAGGCGUUGUCCGGAAUUAUUGGGCGUAAAGAGCUCGUAGGCGGUCUGUCACGUCGGCUGUGAAAACCCGAGGCUCAACCUCGGGCCUGCAGUCGAUACGGGCAAACUAGAGUACUGCAGGGGAGACUGGAAUUCCUGGUGUAGCGGUGAAAUGCGCAGAUAUCAGGAGGAACACCGGUGGCGAAGGCGGGUCUCUGGGCAGUAACUGACGCUGAGGAGCGAAAGCGUGGGGAGCGAACAGG
Molecule: ribosomal RNA, 253 nt
Filed under: uncultured bacterium
Lineage: Bacteria
Description: partial 16S ribosomal RNA
Rfam family: Bacterial small subunit ribosomal RNA
Source: RNAcentral